This 718-nucleotide small RNA is filed under the name Pongo abelii (Sumatran orangutan). Its description in RNAcentral is "retained intron". The record is from RNAcentral. Lineage: Eukaryota; Metazoa; Chordata; Mammalia; Primates; Hominidae.
AUAUCUUAAUUAAAAUAACUUCUCAAGAGAAAUGUUUGUCAGAAAAUGUAAACCUUUCUUAGCACUUGGAAAAUAAAAAUUCUUUAUUUUGUUCUGUUUUAGGACUGUACGAAAAGAAUAUAUCACUGCGAAGUAUGUAGAUCAUAGGUUUUCAAGGAAGACUUGUUCAACUUCAUCAGCUAAACUAAAUGAAUUGCUUGAGGCCAUCAAAUCCAGGGAUUUACUUGCACUAAUUCAAGUCUAUGCAGAGGGGGUAGAGCUAAUGGAACCACUGCUGGAACCUGGGCAGGAGCUUGGGGAGACAGCCCUUCACCUUGCCGUCCGAACUGCAGAUCAGACAUCUCUCCAUUUGGUUGACUUCCUUGUACAAAACUGUGGGAACCUGGAUAAGCAGACGGCCCUGGGAAAUACAGUUCUACACUACUGUAGUAUGUACAGUAAACCUGAGUGUUUGAAGCUUUUGCUCAGGAGCAAGCCCACUGUGGAUAUAGUUAACCAAGCUGGAGAAACUGCCCUAGACAUAGCAAAGAGACUAAAAGCUACCCAGUGUGAAGAUCUGCUUUCCCAGGCUAAAUCUGGAAAGUUCAAUCCACACGUCCACGUAGAAUAUGAGUGGAAUCUUCGACAGGAGGAGAUAGAUGAGAGCGAUGAUGAUCUGGAUGACAAAGUGAGUGUAAAUUAUGUCCUCGAAUUCUCAACAACUACCCCAGCUUUUCUA